AACUUUUGCAGCAUAGCAGCUUUGGAGCACAAGGUGUGACAUGUAAGGGGUGUCAUUCUGGAGCCCCAUUAGAGAUGGGGACAAAGCUCUGUCACCAUGAUAUGGGCUGAGGAACCCUUAGAAGCUGGCCGGGCCUAAUCUCACUCAGCAAGCAGUGAAGAAAGCAGGAGGUGUGGGGGCCAUGCAGUGACACCUGGUAGAGAGCAAACUCACCGUCUGUGAGGACCUGGGUUUAUACCCCUCUCUCCCUGCUAAGGUGUCUCUCCUCUUUGUCUCUGUCUCCUUCUACCUCUUUCUCCUUGUCUGUCUCCCUCUAUCUUAAAAAAAAAUGUACAGUGCGAGCAGUAGAAUUAUGCGGGCAGGUCACACGCUUGCCACCUUCGCCGGCAGGUCUAUCAUGGCCCUAGUGGCCACAGGACCGUGGGGAGCACAGCAGCCUAGAGAAGAGUGUCAUUUGGAAAUCCAGUUUUGCUGUAUCCCUCCCACACCACAGUGUGGCCACUGCCACCUAGAUGGAACCUGUUUGCUCUUGUGUCCAGAGGUGUUGGGACCCAAGCACAUGGGAGCGACCUCUGCUCCAAAUUCAGCUGAAGCGGAGCCUGGUGCUCGGUGCCCCUGCCCAUUGUCACCAGUGACCUCAGGCUGUCAGGCUGGACCCAUGUGUGACUCAUCUUCUAAUUUUCCUCAAGUGCAGAACCCAGCCUUUCCUUGUUCUAGCUUAUUUUUAUUUUAUUUUAUUUUACUUAUUUAUUUUUGUCUCCAAGGUUAUUGCUGGGGCUUGGUGCCUGCACUACAAAUUCACUUUCCCUGGAGGCCAUUUCCCCCCACCCCCAUUUUUGUUGCCCUUGAUGUCAUUGUUGGAUAGGACAGAGAGAAAGAAAGACAGAUACCUGCAGACCUGCUUCACCGCUGGUGAAGCGACCCCCCUGCAGGCAGGGAGCUGGGACCCUUACGCUAAUCUUUGUGCUUUGCCCUGUGCACUUAACCCGCUGUGCUGCUGCCUGA
Molecule: long non-coding RNA, 1005 nt
Organism: Erinaceus europaeus (western European hedgehog)
Lineage: Eukaryota; Metazoa; Chordata; Mammalia; Eulipotyphla; Erinaceidae
Exons: 3
Source: RefSeq, a predicted model, not a curated record